RNAcentral lists this ribosomal RNA (465 nucleotides) under Vreelandella stevensii. RNAcentral describes it as "partial 16S ribosomal RNA". It matches the Rfam family "Bacterial small subunit ribosomal RNA", at positions 338 to 795 of the family's 1533-position model. Lineage: Bacteria; Pseudomonadati; Pseudomonadota; Gammaproteobacteria; Oceanospirillales; Halomonadaceae. The record is from RNAcentral.
CCUACGGGCGGCAGCAGUGGGUAAUAUUGGACAAUGGGGGGAACCCUGAUCCAGCCAUGCCGCGUGUGUGAAGAAGGCCCUCGGGUUGUAAAGCACUUUCAGUGAGGAAGAACGCCUGGUGGUUAAUACACAUCAGGAAAGACAUCACUCACAGAAGAAGCACCGGCUAACUCCGUGCCAGCAGCCGCGGUAAUACGGAGGGUGCGAGCGUUAAUCGGAAUGACUGGGCGUAAAGCGCGCGUAGGUGGCUUGAUAAGCCGGUUGUGAAAGCCCCGGGCUCAACCUGGGAACGGCAUCCGGAACUGUCAAGCUAGAGUGGAGGAGAGGAAGGUAGAAAUCCCGGUGGAGCGGUGAAAUGCGGAGAGAUCGGGAGGAAAACCAGGUGCGAAGGCGGCCUUCUGGACUGACACUGGCACUGAGGUGCGAAAGCGUUGGUAACAAACAGGAUUAGGUACCCGAGUAGUC